RNAcentral lists this ribosomal RNA (254 nucleotides) under uncultured bacterium. Its description in RNAcentral is "partial 16S ribosomal RNA". It matches the Rfam family "Bacterial small subunit ribosomal RNA", at positions 524 to 776 of the family's 1533-position model. The record is from RNAcentral.
UACGGAGGGGGCUAGCGUUGUUCGGAUUUACUGGGCGUAAAGGGCGCGUAGGCGGCCACCGCAAGUCGACUGUGAAAUCUCCGGGCUUAACCCGGAAAGGUCAGCCGAUACUGCGGGGCUAGAGUGCAGAAGGGGCAACUGGAAUUCUCGGUGUAGCGGUGAAAUGCGUAGAUAUCGAGAGGAACACCUGCGGCGAAGGCGGGUUGCUGGGCUGACACUGACGCUGAGGCGCGAAAGCUAGGGGAGCGAACGGG